AACGCACGAGACCUGCGGACCUGCGGAGGGAUCAUUAGUGAACGCCCUCACGGGCUUAUAACUAUUCCAAACCUCUGUGAACCGUGCCCUUCGGGGCUAUUUUACAAACAUGGUGUAAUGAAUGUCAUAUAUCAUAACAAAACAAAACUUUCAACAAUGGAUCUCU
Molecule: unclassified non-coding RNA, 166 nt
Filed under: soil metagenome
Description: partial contains 5.8S ribosomal RNA, internal transcribed spacer 2, and large subunit ribosomal RNA
Source: RNAcentral